Long non-coding RNA from Cyprinus carpio carpio, 1021 nucleotides. NCBI's taxonomy places the organism in Eukaryota, Metazoa, Chordata, Actinopteri, Cypriniformes, Cyprinidae. The record is from Ensembl.
GGGACGCCGGGCAAACUGAAUCGCAUAGCCGAAGCUGAUGGCCUUGCAGAAGCCAGCGAGAUGGGCUUGGUAGUGCUGACCAGGCGCUUAGAAACCGUACAAGCGGGACCAGCAGAACCACAGCCGUACCCGCAGCGGGGCAGUGAGGUGGAACACAGGGACCCACUCGGGCGGCUUGUGAGCGGGCCGGAGAGGGGUGUGAGUGUGGGGUGCAAGGCUCACCUGGUUCCACAGGUUGGCAGAGGGUGCGUGAGUAGGGCCUUCAUUGAUGCUCUCGAACCGCCCGCUGCUGCCAUCUGGCAAAGGAGGAGGAUGAGUGAGGUCCGGUGCUUGGCCAACUUCUGGAUCGUGACCACCCUCGUGCAGGUCCUUCAGUGCCUUGGCCUGGUGCACCUGCAGUAAUGCCACAGUGUGUAAGGCAGAAGCAGCUUCCCCGCAAGCCAUAUAGGCACCGCCGGUUAGACCAGACGAAUGCCUUUAGGCCCAGGAAGAAAGGCCCUGAAAACCAUCACGAGCCACCUUGAGAAACCAAUCAUCCUGCCUCGAGGGCUUGGGACACGGUGGAGAUUUCCACUCGAGCCCUACCCUCUCGGCAGCCCGGGAAAGCAUAGCUGUCAUCUCUGGAUCCAAUUCAGGCUUUGCCACCAUCCUAGAGGCGGCAGCGCAGCCGAAUCUUCAUCUGACAGCUCUCCCUCCAAUGCUGAGAUCGACAUCUGGUCGGUGGGAGGCCCACUGGAUACCGCUGGUACGCUCUUUGAAGAGGGCCCAGCGCGUUCCGUGGGUUACUCCACUGGAUCGGAGAUGCAAGAGGAGUGAUGGUCCCCAGAGGGUUGGUUCCCUGCGGGGUUUGCCACCACUGUAAUCCUCAAACCGCCCGUGCUACUGCUGGAAGUGGAUCUCGUCUGUCGGCCGCCAGAACGAGCCCCAGAUUGUGGCAGUGGCAAUGGGACUCCGCCCCCUUUUUUGAAGGUAGCAGUGGGAACAUGACUCAUCCACGAAAGCUACCUCAGCGUGUUUGCCC